RNAcentral lists this ribosomal RNA (463 nucleotides) under uncultured bacterium. RNAcentral describes it as "partial 16S ribosomal RNA". It matches the Rfam family "Bacterial small subunit ribosomal RNA", at positions 28 to 507 of the family's 1533-position model. The record is from RNAcentral.
GACGAACGCUGGCGGCGUGCUUAACACAUGCAAGUCGAACGGUGAACCUCUUCGGAGGGGAUCAGUGGCGAACGGGUGAGUAACACGUGGGCAACCUGCCCCCGGCUCUGGGAUAACUCCAAGAAAUUGGGGCUAAUACCGGAUGUUCACCGCUUCCCGCAUGGGUGGUGGUGGAAAGGGUUUCCGGCUGGGGAUGGGCCCGCGGCCUAUCAGCUUGUUGGUGGGGUAGUGGCCUACCAAGGCGACGACGGGUAGCCGGCCUGAGAGGGUGACCGGCCACACUGGGACUGAGACACGGCCCAGACUCCUACGGGAGGCAGCAGUGGGGAAUAUUGCGCAAUGGGCGGAAGCCUGACGCAGCGACGCCGCGUGGGGGAUGACGGCCUUCGGGUUGUAAACCUCUUUCAGCAGGGACGAAGCGCAAGUGACGGUACCUGCAGAAGAAGCACCGGCCGACUACGUG